GACGAACGCUGGCGGCGUGCUUAACACAUGCAAGUCGAACGGAAAGGCCCCUUUGUGGGUACUCGAGUGGCGAACGGGUGAGUAACACGUGAGUAACCUGCCCCUGCCUUCGGGAUAACUUCAGGCAACUGGGGCGAAUACCGGAUAGGAAUCCUUUCCUCAUGGUGGGGGUUGGAAAGCUUCGGCGGUUUUGGAUGGACUCGCGGCUUAUCAGCUUGUUGGUGGGGUAGUGGCUUACCAAGGCUUUGACGGGUAGCCGGCCUGGGGGGGCGACCGGCCACAUUGGGACUGGGAUACGGCCCAGACUCCUACGGGAGGCAGCAGUGGGGAAUAUUGCACAAUGGGCGGAAGCCUGAUGCAGCAACGCCGCGGGCGGGAUGACGGCCUUCGGGUUGUAAACCGCUUUCAGCAGGGGCGAAGCUUGUGGUGACGGUACCUGCAGAAGAAGCACCGGCUAACUACGUG
RNAcentral lists this ribosomal RNA (465 nucleotides) under uncultured bacterium. RNAcentral's name for it is "partial 16S ribosomal RNA". It matches the Rfam family "Bacterial small subunit ribosomal RNA", at positions 28 to 507 of the family's 1533-position model. The record is from RNAcentral.